AUGGACUCGGAUGACGAGGAAGCGCUCGCCGCGCUGCUAGAGGAGGAAGCCGAGGCCGACGUCCAGGAAGAAGAGCAUCUCAUGGUGCUCGCCGCCCUCGCCCAGCUGCCGGCGAGCAAUGAAAAGCCGCGGCGAGGUGGCUCGGCGCCGGGGCGGGUGAAAGCAAAGAACCGACAUUGUCUCGAAUGCUACUGCAUGCUCUACUCCGACUACUUUGUCGAUGCUCCACUUCACGGCGAGAAAACAUUUCGGCGCCGUUAUCGGAUGAGCCGAAAGCUCUUCCUCAGGAUUGUGAAUUCCAUCCGGGAGUUCAACAACUACUUCAAGUGCAAGAUGGAUUGCACCGGCGCCCUUGGAUUCACCUCCAUCCAGAAGUGCACGACAGCGAUGAGGAUGCUUGCAUACGGAGCUUCCGGUGAUUCACUCGACGAUUAUGGGCGCAUGGCCGAGUCCACCAGCAUAGAGUGUUUCUAUAAGUUCUGUCGGACAGUGGGGAUGUACAAAGGCGCCAAAGACGGUUGCAGUGUGGUACUUGAGGCGGUGGCCACACAUGACCUCUGGAUUUGGCACUCCUUCUUUGGUAUGCCAGGAACUCACAAUGACAUCAACGUGUUGCAGUGCUCUCCUGUCUUUGCUAAGCUUGUUGAAGGUCAUUCUCCUCCGGUGAUAUUUGAGAUCAAUGGGCGACACUACAACAAGGGGUACUAUCUAGCUGAUGGCAUCUAUCCGAGAUGGUCGACAUUUGUGAAGACGAUCUCAAACCCUGUGCCAGGAGGCAAGAACGCCUGGUUUGCGAAGAUUCAGGAGGUUUGCAGGAAGGAUGUCGAGCGGGCAUUUGGUGUGCUCCAAUCUCGAUUUGCUGUUGUCCGAUACCCCGCUCAGACCUGGUCCAAAGAUCAAAUGUGGGAUAUUAUGACUUGCUGUGUCAUCUUGCACAACAUGAUCAUCGAGAGCGAGCAAUAA
RNAcentral lists this ribosomal RNA (963 nucleotides) under Triticum aestivum (bread wheat). RNAcentral's name for it is "partial small subunit ribosomal RNA". Lineage: Eukaryota; Viridiplantae; Streptophyta; Magnoliopsida; Poales; Poaceae. The record is from RNAcentral.